CAGCCGCCACGGUAAUACGUAGGUCCCGAGCGUUGUCCGGAUUUAUUGGGCGUAAAGCGAGCGCAGGCGGUUAGAUAAGUCUGAAGUUAAAGGCUGUGGCUUAACCAUAGUACGCUUUGGAAACUGUUUAACUUGAGUGCAGAAGGGGAGAGUGGAAUUCCAUGUGUAGCGGUGAAAUGCGUAGAUAUAUGGAGGAACACCGGUGGCGAAAGCGGCUCUCUGGUCUGUAACUGACGCUGAGGCUCGAAAGCGUGGGGAGCGAACAGGAUUAGAUACCCCUGUAGUCCCUGUCUCUUAUACA
RNAcentral lists this ribosomal RNA (301 nucleotides) under uncultured bacterium. Its description in RNAcentral is "partial 16S ribosomal RNA". It matches the Rfam family "Bacterial small subunit ribosomal RNA", at positions 509 to 808 of the family's 1533-position model. The record is from RNAcentral.